Molecule: ribosomal RNA, 1399 nt
Filed under: uncultured bacterium
Lineage: Bacteria
Description: 16S ribosomal RNA
Rfam family: Bacterial small subunit ribosomal RNA
Source: RNAcentral
UUAGAGUUUGAUCCUGGCUCAGGAUGAACGCUAGCGGCAGGCUUAACACAUGCAAGUCGAGGGGCAGCGAGAUCAGUGCUUGCACUGAUUGUCGGCGACCGGCGCACGGGUGCGUAACGCGUAUGCAACCUACCCAUUACAGGGGGAUAACACUGAGAAAUCGGUACUAAUACCCCAUAACAUCCAGGGAGGCAUCUUCUUGGGUUGAAAACUCCGGUGGUAAUGGAUGGGCAUGCGUUGUAUUAGUUAGUUGGUGGGGUAACGGCUCACCAAGACAACGAUACAUAGGGGGACUGAGAGGUUAACCCCCCACAUUGGUACUGAGACACGGACCAAACUCCUACGGGAGGCAGCAGUGAGGAAUAUUGGUCAAUGGACGCAAGUCUGAACCAGCCAUGCCGCGUGCAGGAAGACGGCUCUAUGAGUUGUAAACUGCUUUUGUACGAGGGUAAACGCAGAUACGCGUAUCUGUCUGAAAGUAUCGUACGAAUAAGGAUCGGCUAACUCCGUGCCAGCAGCCGCGGUAAUACGGAGGAUUCAAGCGUUAUCCGGAUUUAUUGGGUUUAAAGGGUGCGUAGGCGGUCGGAUAAGUUAGAGGUGAAAUCCCGGGGCUCAACUUCGGAAUUGCCUCUGAUACUGUUCGGCUAGAGAGUAGUUGCGGUAGGCGGAAUGUAUGGUGUAGCGGUGAAAUGCUUAGAGAUCAUACAGAACACCGAUUGCGAAGGCAGCUUACCAAGCUACUUCUGACGUUGAGGCACGAAAGCGUGGGGAGCAAACAGGAUUAGAUACCCUGGUAGUCCACGCAGUAAACGAUGAUAACUCGUUGUCGGCGAUACAGUGUCGGUGACUAAGCGAAAGCGAUAAGUUAUCCACCUGGGGAGUACGUUCGCAAGAAUGAAACUCAAAGGAAUUGACGGGGGCCCGCACAAGCGGAGGAACAUGUGGUUUAAUUCGAUGAUACGCGAGGAACCUUACCCGGGCUUGAAAGUUAGUGACGGAUCUUGAAAGAGGUCUUCCCUUCGGGGCAUGAAACUAGGUGCUGCAUGGUUGUCGUCAGCUCGUGCCGUGAGGUGUCGGGUUAAGUCCCAUAACGAGCGCAACCCCUACCGUUAGUUGCCAGCAGGUCAAGCUGGGCACUCUGACGGGACUGCCGGUGUAAGCCGAGAGGAAGGUGGGGAUGACGUCAAAUCAGCACGGCCCUUACGUCCGGGGCUACACACGUGUUACAAUGGCAGGUACAGAGGGCAGCUACCCAGCGAUGGGAUGCGAAUCUCGAAAGCCUGUCUCAGUUCGGAUUGGAGGCUGAAACCCGCCUCCAUGAAGUUGGAUUCGCUAGUAAUCGCGCAUCAGCCAUGGCGCGGUGAAUACGUUCCCGGGCCUUGUACUAGACCGCCCGUCA